This 436-nucleotide ribosomal RNA is filed under the name uncultured bacterium. Its description in RNAcentral is "partial 16S ribosomal RNA". It matches the Rfam family "Bacterial small subunit ribosomal RNA", at positions 29 to 507 of the family's 1533-position model. The record is from RNAcentral.
AACGAACGCUGGCGGCAUGCCUAACACAUGCAAGUCGAACGAGAUCCUUCGGGGUCUAGUGGCGCACGGGUGCGUAACGCGUGGGAAUCUGCCCUUAGGUUCGGAAUAACAGUUAGAAAUGACUGCUAAUACCGGAUGAUGACAUUAAGUCCAAAGAUUUAUCGCCUGAGGAUGAGCCCGCGUAGGAUUAGCUAGUUGGUGUGGUAAAGGCGCACCAAGGCGACGAUCCUUAGCUGGUCUGAGAGGAUGAUCAGCCACACUGGGACUGAGACACGGCCCAGACUCCUACGGGAGGCAGCAGUGGGGAAUAUUGGACAAUGGGCGCAAGCCUGAUCCAGCAAUGCCGCGUGAGUGAUGAAGGCCUUAGGGUUGUAAAGCUCUUUUACCCGAGAUGAUAAUGACAGUAUCGGGAGAAUAAGCCCCGGCUAACUCCGUG